This 438-nucleotide ribosomal RNA is filed under the name uncultured bacterium. RNAcentral describes it as "partial 16S ribosomal RNA". It matches the Rfam family "Bacterial small subunit ribosomal RNA", at positions 29 to 507 of the family's 1533-position model. The record is from RNAcentral.
AACGAACGCUGGCGGCAUGCCUAACACAUGCAAGUCGAACGAGACCUUCGUGUCUAGUUGCGCACGGGUGCGUAACGCGUGGGAACCUGCCCUUAGGUUCGGAAUAACUCCCCGAAAGGUGUGCUAAUACCGGAUAAUGUCUUCGGACCAAAGAUUUGUCGCCGUUGGAUGGGCUCGCGUUGGAUUAGCUUGUUGGGAGGGUAAAAGCCUACCAAGGCUACGAUCGAUAGCUGGUCUGAGAGGAUGAUCGGCCACACUGGGACUGAGACACGGCCCAGACUCCGACGGGAGGCAGCAGUGGGGAAUAUUGCACAAUGGGCGGAAGCCUGAUGCAGCAACGCCGCGUGCGGGAUGACGGCCUUCGGGUUGUAAACCGCUUUCGCCUGUGACGAAGCGUGAGUGACGGUAAUGGGUAAAGAAGCACCGGCUAACGACGUG